RNAcentral lists this ribosomal RNA (810 nucleotides) under uncultured Gammaproteobacteria bacterium. RNAcentral describes it as "bacterial SSU rRNA". It matches the Rfam family "Bacterial small subunit ribosomal RNA", at positions 56 to 843 of the family's 1533-position model. Lineage: Bacteria; Pseudomonadati; Pseudomonadota; Gammaproteobacteria. The record is from RNAcentral.
UGCAAGUCGAGCGGUAACAGGCAUUUUGAUUCAGCUUGCUGAAUCUCGCGCUGACGAGCGGCGGACGGGUGAGUAACGCGUAGGAAUCUACCUAGUAGAAGGGGAUAGCCCGGGGAAACUCGGAUUAAUACCGUAUACGUCCUUAGGGAGAAAGAGGGCUUAGCUUUGAUGCUCUCGCUAUUAGAUGAGCCUGCGUAAGAUUAGCUUGUUGGUGAGGUAAAGGCUCACCAAGGCUACGAUCUUUAGCUGGUCUGAGAGGACGAUCAGCCACAUUGGGACUGAGACACGGCCCAGACUCCUACGGGAGGCAGCAGUGGGGAAUAUUGGACAAUGGGCGCAAGCCUGAUCCAGCCAUACCGCGUGUGUGAAGAAGGCCUUCGGGUUGUAAAGCACUUUAAGUAAGGAAGAAAAGUAUAUUGUUAAUACCAAUGUACCGUGACAUUACUUACAGAAUAAGGACCGGCUAAUUCCGUGCCAGCAGCCGCGGUAAUACGGAAGGUCCAAGCGUUAAUCGGAAUUACUGGGCGUAAAGCGCGCGUAGGUGGUUUAUUAAGUUGGGUGUGAAAGCCCCGGGCUCAACCUGGGAACUGCAUCCAAAACUGAUUCACUAGAGUACGAAAGAGGGAGGUAGAAUUCACAGUGUAGCGGUGGAAUGCGUAGAUAUUGUGAAGAAUACCAAUGGCGAAGGCAGCCUCCUGGUUCUGUACUGACACUGAGGUGCGAAAGCGUGGGUAGCGAACAGGAUUAGAUACCCUGGUAGUCCACGCCGUAAACGAUGACAACCAGCUGUUGGGAAGCAAUGCUUUUCAG